UACGUAGGGUGCGAGCGUUGUCCGGAAUUAUUGGGCGUGAAGGGCGCGUAGGCGGCGAUCCAAGUGGCGGGUGAAAUCCCUCGGCUUAACCGAGGAACUGCCUGCCAGACUGGAUUGCUUGAGUCCGGGAGAGGUGAGUGGAAUUCCCAGUGUAGCGGUGAAAUGCGUAGAUAUUGGGAGGAACACCAGUGGCGAAGGCGGCUCACUGGACCGGAACUGACGCUGAGGCGCGAAAGCGUGGGGAGCAAACAGG
This 253-nucleotide ribosomal RNA is filed under the name uncultured bacterium. RNAcentral's name for it is "partial 16S ribosomal RNA". It matches the Rfam family "Bacterial small subunit ribosomal RNA", at positions 524 to 776 of the family's 1533-position model. The record is from RNAcentral.